RNAcentral lists this ribosomal RNA (465 nucleotides) under uncultured bacterium. Its description in RNAcentral is "bacterial SSU rRNA". It matches the Rfam family "Bacterial small subunit ribosomal RNA", at positions 338 to 795 of the family's 1533-position model. The record is from RNAcentral.
CCUACGGGGGGCUGCAGUAGGGAAUCUUCCGCAAUGGACGAAAGUCUGACGGAGCAACGCCGCGUGAGCGAAGAAGGUCUUCGGAUCGUAAAGCUCUGUUGUUAGGGAAGAACAAGUACCGGAGUAACUGUCGGUACCUUGACGGUACCUAACCAGAAAGCCACGGCUAACUACGUGCCAGCAGCCGCGGUAAUACGUAGGUGGCAAGCGUUGUCCGGAAUCAUUGGGCGUAAAGCGCGCGCAGGCGGUCCUUUAAGUCUGAUGUGAAAUCUUGCGGCUCAACCGUAAGCGGUCAUUGGAAACUGGGGGACUUGAGUGCAGGAGAGGAAAGCGGAAUUCCAUGUGUAGCGGUGAAAUGCGUAGAGAUAUGGAGGAACACCAGUGGCGAAGGCGGCUUUCUGGCCUGUAACUGACGCUGAGGCGCGAAAGCGUGGGGAGCAAACAGGAUUAGAUACCCUUGUAGUC